GACGAACGCUGGCGGCGUGCUUAACACAUGCAAGUCGAACGGAAAGGCCUCUUUCGGGGGGUACUCGAGUGGCGAACGGGUGAGUAACACGUGAGUAACCUGCCCUUGACUUUGGGAUAACUUCAGGAAACUGGGGCUAAUACCGGAUAGGAGCUCCUGCUGCAUGGUGGGGGUUGGAAAGUUUCGGCGGUUGGGGAUGGACUCGCGGCUUAUCAGCUUGUUGGUGGGGUAGUGGCUUACCAAGGCUUUGACGGGUAGCCGGCCUGAGAGGGUGACCGGCCACAUUGGGACUGAGAUACGGCCCAGACUCCUACGGGAGGCAGCAGUGGGGAAUAUUGCACAAUGGGUGGAAGCCCGAUGCAGCAACGCCGGGUGCGGGAUGACGGCCUUCGGGUUGUAAACCGCUUUCGCUCAUGACGAAGCUUUGUGUGACGGUAGUGGGUAAAGAAGCACCGGCUAACUACGUG
RNAcentral lists this ribosomal RNA (467 nucleotides) under uncultured bacterium. RNAcentral's name for it is "partial 16S ribosomal RNA". It matches the Rfam family "Bacterial small subunit ribosomal RNA", at positions 28 to 507 of the family's 1533-position model. The record is from RNAcentral.